RNAcentral lists this non-coding RNA (30 nucleotides) under Mus musculus (house mouse). The record is from RNAcentral. Lineage: Eukaryota; Metazoa; Chordata; Mammalia; Rodentia; Muridae.
UAGAAUUGUUUGCAGAUAUUGUUCCCAAAA